UUAAGUUCAGCGGGUAGUCCUACCUGAUUUGAGAUCAAACGUUCAAAGAGCUGUCCCCGCUUAGGAGAGACAUUUAUAAGCUCCAGCGAACCCCCAUCACUGAAGGUUAUCUGGUGGAAAACCACAAGCGCAGAUAGUUAUCACACCUGUGAUGCCACCAAACACUGGUAAGCUAAUCCAUUUGAGAGGAGCCGACCGUA
RNAcentral lists this unclassified non-coding RNA (200 nucleotides) under Thelephoraceae sp. RNAcentral describes it as "partial internal transcribed spacer 2". The record is from RNAcentral. Lineage: Eukaryota; Fungi; Basidiomycota; Agaricomycetes; Thelephorales; Thelephoraceae.